Molecule: unclassified non-coding RNA, 325 nt
Filed under: Hevea brasiliensis (rubber tree)
Lineage: Eukaryota; Viridiplantae; Streptophyta; Magnoliopsida; Malpighiales; Euphorbiaceae
Source: RNAcentral
CUCUUGUACAAUUUCAAGUCCACUUUUCGUAAGUAUGGCGCUCCAUCCAUGCUCACCUUCACAAAUGCCACACCACCGCCACUGCUGCUACCCCCAGCAGCCGCCUUUUCUCCAUCUUCAUUGCUGUUUUUCUGUACAGACAUGACAUUCUUUCGGAAUGAUCGAAUUGGUGGCCAACCCACGACUUGUGCCUUGGCUGGAGGCUUUGUCGGAUCAGCAGAGGAAGGAAGAACAUCAGCUUUCUCCUUCAUCUUCUCCUCCCCAAUAUCAUUCCCUGCUGACUCUUUGGUGGAAAGAUUAAGCUUCAAAUCCACUAGAGUCUCUG